UGGGUAACCUGCCCUAUACACAUGGAUAACAUACUGAAAAGUUUACUAAUACAUGAUAAUAUAUAUUUGUGGCAUCGCAGAUAUAUCAAAGUGUUAGCGGUAUAGGAUGGACCCGCGUCUGAUUAGCUAGUUGGUGAGAUAACUGCCCACCAAGGCGACGAUCAGUAGCCGACCUGAGAGGGUGAUCGGCCACAUUGGAACUGAGACACGGUCCAAACUCCUACGGGAGGCAGCAGCA
RNAcentral lists this ribosomal RNA (238 nucleotides) under uncultured Peptostreptococcus sp. RNAcentral describes it as "partial 16S ribosomal RNA". It matches the Rfam family "Bacterial small subunit ribosomal RNA", at positions 118 to 355 of the family's 1533-position model. The record is from RNAcentral. Lineage: Bacteria; Bacillati; Bacillota; Clostridia; Peptostreptococcales; Peptostreptococcaceae.